This is a long non-coding RNA of Helianthus annuus (common sunflower), 623 nucleotides long. RefSeq lists it as uncharacterized. NCBI's taxonomy places the organism in Eukaryota, Viridiplantae, Streptophyta, Magnoliopsida, Asterales, Asteraceae. The record is from RefSeq and is a predicted model, not a curated record. The transcript has 2 exons.
UGGGAUACCUCAAAUUGCUACUUCUGCCUUUUCUUCAGUUUUCAUAGCUUGUGAAAAACAUUAUUCGGAUAAAAUAUUCGAACACGGUAUCCCUUCUUGACGAUGAGAAAGUAAACCACUUGAUUUGAAGCACCCUCAUCAGAUCAUCCACCCAGCGUUGGCGACUUACUAUUUACCACUCUCACAUGGUCAAAAGUAGAAAUAUAACCAAAUCACGCAAACCGAAAGAGGCUUUAGACUUAAGAAUUGGGAAGAGGCCGCGCAAACACAGGCCUCCACUGCCACAAAUUAUGACAUAGGCUCGACCACUUGGGCCGACCUUAGGCGGGCACCCCUCCUAAGUGCAAUAGAGGUCACCAACCUAGGCCAUGGACCUUCUUGAUCGCCCAUUGACCCAGUCCAGGUAAGUGAGUAACCCAAAGGCCUCUUCUCCUUUUUGUAUCACACCACCUACCCUUGCUUCUUUCUAUACACCGAUGUGGGAUACCCUCAUAUUUGCUAUUUCUGUUCUUCUUCAGUUUUCACAACUUGUGAAACAUUAGUUAAGUACCGGUUAUCCUAAUUAUAUCGAAAAUGUAUCGAAAAUGACGUUAUGAAAUAUACUGGUUAUCCUGAUUAUGAAA